CCUAGGAAAGGCUGCUGGUAACUGGGAUGGGGGUUGGGGGUAGGUAAGAAGUCUCUCACUCCUCCUCUACCUCAUUCCAGUUCCAUCACCUGAAGUGGACCUGUUGGGA
MicroRNA precursor from Cercocebus atys (sooty mangabey), 109 nucleotides. NCBI's taxonomy places the organism in Eukaryota, Metazoa, Chordata, Mammalia, Primates, Cercopithecidae. The record is from Ensembl.